UCUCCAACCCUCACUUAACACAAAUCUGUGAUAUAACUUCUUUAACCAGCCUGGUGACUGGAAUCCUAGUGCUAUACCACAAAUAGAAAAAACAGAUUUCAAACUGGCUAGUUUCAGAAGCCCAGGAAGACUGUAUGACUGUAGAAGA
Zootermopsis nevadensis is the source of this 148-nucleotide non-coding RNA. The record is from RefSeq and is a predicted model, not a curated record. Lineage: Eukaryota; Metazoa; Arthropoda; Insecta; Blattodea; Termopsidae.